Non-coding RNA from Camelina sativa (false flax), 1341 nucleotides. NCBI's taxonomy places the organism in Eukaryota, Viridiplantae, Streptophyta, Magnoliopsida, Brassicales, Brassicaceae. The record is from RefSeq and is a predicted model, not a curated record.
AAGAGGACCUCUUAUUUAGUAUAGUGGAUUUGAUAAUAAGAGACGGUACGUGUCACGUUUUUGUUGGGCAAACCGAGUAACGAAGAAAUUUUUUUUUUUGAUGGUCAAUCGUUUUUUUUUCUCUCUCUCGAUCGAAGUGACGAAUUGACCAUGGAAGAAGAUGGAAUCAGAGGAGAUUCGGGUCGGAUGAGAUGCGAAGGAGAUUGAAUCGGCGGAGGCUAAUCGGAGGAGAUUGAGAAACACAAGAAGAGUAUGACGCCAUCACAAUCACCUAAGGAGAGCGAGACGCGCUAAAGCUUUUCUGAUCAACGUUUAUUUGUGAAUCUAGGGAACUUUUUGGGUGAAGAUUUUGUAGAAUCGUGAUGGGUUUAUCGAAAGGUAGAUUGAAAGCAUGGUUUAAUAAAAAAAUCAUUGAUCAUCUUCCUCCAGGUAUUGCGUAGGUUUGUCUUCUUUGGACUCUCUCUCUCUCUCUCUCUCUCUCUACUCGUUUUGUAUGAUCAUCAUCGUAUCUGUACAUGGAUCUGGAAGUAGGACUAGAUUGGUUACUCUGAUUCUGCUAAUUGAUUUAGAUUCCAUGUGCUAUUUUGUUGAAUUUUUGGUCUUUUAUAAGCUGGAGUUGUGCAUUUUGCUUCUUCUUGGUUUCUUAAUUUGGAAUAUUGACGAUGAUGGUGAUACUGAUGCAUUAUGACGGUGAUGGUGAUACUGAUGCAUCUCCCAAGGUACUGCCUUCGAGUCAUGUGGUUCAGGAACUGGAAGAAGGGUUCUCUAUGAAUCUUCCAAGAUUCUUGCUCAGAAAAUGACUGUCGUUGUGAAACAAUGCAGCAUAAGCGGUUUGGGAAAAAGGCACCAAAGGAUAUUAAGAGUUUGGCAGCGAUAUAUAUGCAAGGAAUGUUGGACAUCUCUCCCUCAAAGAUGACAUAAAGAGGCAGCAUUACAUUCCCGAUGAUCAAACUUGAAUAGUGUCUGAAGCAAACUAUUAGAGCAAGCACAUCGGUAAUAUUAGAUAAAGUAAGACACUCUCAGACCCUUGCUUGCUUGUCUGUCACCAUUUGAUUGCUCCAUUUAAAAACAAAAAUAAUUAAUUAAAUUAAAUAAAAGUUUUGUAUUAAAAUAUUAAUAAAAUCAAUAUAGUAUCUAAAUUUUCAAGGUUUGCCGAUGUACAUGCCCUUAAUACUCUUAUUUAUGGUAAUGUGCAACAUGAUAUUGCUUAAAUAUUAAAAUCAGACAAUGUCAUUGGAAUGCCCAAGUUGUUGUGACACCCAAAGUGUUUGGUUCUGAUCCGCAAAUGCUUCGCUGCUUGUCCGUUGACCUUCACCUUACUGGUAUCUUCAGCUGACUUUU